UGGGGAAUUGUUCACAAUGGGCGCAAGCCUGAUGACGCAACGCCGCGUGGGGGAUGAAGGUCUUCGGAUCGUAAACCCCUGUCGAAUGGGACGAAAGACUCGCGAGUGAAUACUUCGCGAGAGUGACGGUACCGUUAAAGGAAGCCACGGCUAACUCUGUGCCAGCAGCCGCGGUAAUACAGAGGUGGCAAGCGUUGUUCGGAAUUACUGGGCGUAAAGGGCGCGUAGGCGGCCCUCUAAGUCAGACGUGAAAUCCCCGGCUUAACCUGGGAACUGCGUCUGAUACUGGAGGGCUUGAGUAUGGGAGAGGGAUGUAGAAUUCCAGGUGUAGCGGUGAAAUGCGUAGAUAUCUGGAGGAAUACCGGUGGCGAAGGCGGCAUCCUGGACCAUUACUGACGCUGAGGCGCGAAAGCUGGGGGAGCAAACGGGAUUAGAUACCCAAGUAGUCCCUGAGCGGGCUGGCAAGGCGCAU
Molecule: ribosomal RNA, 472 nt
Filed under: uncultured bacterium
Lineage: Bacteria
Description: bacterial SSU rRNA
Rfam family: Bacterial small subunit ribosomal RNA
Source: RNAcentral